RNAcentral lists this ribosomal RNA (264 nucleotides) under Steringophorus agnotus. RNAcentral's name for it is "partial 18S ribosomal RNA". It matches the Rfam family "Eukaryotic small subunit ribosomal RNA", at positions 597 to 784 of the family's 1831-position model. The record is from RNAcentral. Lineage: Eukaryota; Metazoa; Platyhelminthes; Trematoda; Strigeidida; Fellodistomidae.
GCGUAUAUUAAAGUUGUUGCAGUUAAAAAGCUCGUAGUUGGAUCUGGGUCGCAUGGCUACCUGCCGUUGCUAACGCCUCGAAUUGACCACGGUUGAUUUGAGGUGUGUGCGUCGGUGUAGUAGCUGAGCAGCCUUUCUGCCGUGUCUGUGUAUACGGGUGUUGACGGGUCUUCGGAUCUGUCGGCAUGCUUCCGGAUGCCUUUCAUAGGGUGUCUGGGGCGNACGGCACGUUUACUUUGAACAAAUUUGAGUGCUCAAAGCAGG